UUGUUGCCAAAGACCGUUGAAGUGGUUUAUCUUACUCAACAUAGGGAGCCAUUUUGAACGUACUUGAUGAAUUGUUCGAGUACUGUAGGAUCGUUUGCUGACCCAACGAGUCACUAAUCCAGAGGCGGAAUUCAUUGAAUUAGUCUUCGUAAAGCUUGAUUUCACUCUUUAAUGUCUCCUGUAUUGAUUAACUAUCAAAUUACAAGCUUGUGGAGACAAUCGGACAGGGCUUCGCCUUUACACCUUGGAAAACACCUACACAUCACUGCUUGAACCGCUCAUCUGGACUCCUAUAUAUAGGAAACAUAGGCCGCUCAUAUGGACAAGUCCAUAUGAGCGAUCCAACCAAGUGACAAAUGAGCGAUCCAUAAUGAUUGCCACAUAAGCGACCCACCUAUUCUACCCUAUAAGCGGCCCUCAACAUUACAAGAUUUCUCGUUUACCGUUCACUAUACAAUCAGCCCUAUCCUAAGACUCGAACUAAGAUGUAGUCGACAGACAACUGCACCAACAGACUCC
This 519-nucleotide long non-coding RNA is filed under the name Helianthus annuus (common sunflower). RNAcentral's name for it is "hypothetical non coding rna". The record is from RNAcentral. Lineage: Eukaryota; Viridiplantae; Streptophyta; Magnoliopsida; Asterales; Asteraceae.